UUUCUGUCUUAUUCUGUUGAUUUUUCUAGCAUCGUGUUCAUCAAAAAUCGGAGUCAGAGAUGUUGCCGAAGUCCGAGAUAAGCCCUGGUCCUCUUCGUUUCCUUUUUUUUGCCUUCUUUCCAUUGCUUUAGGCACCGCUACCGGCCAUCGACUUCAUCGAAAAUCUAUCAUAAAAAGAAUCCUUCAUUUUUACUAUUAUUUUCCUUGUUCCUCCUUUCUCCGGCUAUCUCCACUACUAGCAAUCAUUGUCGAGGCUUUUGGCCUCUCCCCUGCAUUGGUCUUUGACUCAUGUUGGAUCCCCAAUGUUUGGCAAACAGGCUGAGACCCAA
Molecule: long non-coding RNA, 329 nt
Filed under: Elaeis guineensis (African oil palm)
Lineage: Eukaryota; Viridiplantae; Streptophyta; Magnoliopsida; Arecales; Arecaceae
Description: long non-coding RNA (EGUI_LNC019887)
Source: RNAcentral